Molecule: ribosomal RNA, 253 nt
Filed under: uncultured bacterium
Lineage: Bacteria
Description: partial 16S ribosomal RNA
Rfam family: Bacterial small subunit ribosomal RNA
Source: RNAcentral
UACAGAGGUCUCAAGCGUUGUUCGGAUUCAUUGGGCGUAAAGGGUGCGUAGGUGGCGCUGUAAGUCAGGUGUGAAAUUUCGGAGCUUAACUCCGAAACUGCAUUUGAUACUGCGGUGCUUGAGGACUGGAGAGGAGACUGGAAUUUACGGUGUAGCAGUGAAAUGCGUAGAGAUCGUAAGGAAGACCAGUGGCGAAGGCGGGUCUCUGGACAGUUCCUGACACUGAGGCACGAAGGCCAGGGGAGCAAACGGG